Molecule: ribosomal RNA, 823 nt
Filed under: Paramyrothecium sp.
Lineage: Eukaryota; Fungi; Ascomycota; Sordariomycetes; Hypocreales; Stachybotryaceae
Description: eukaryotic LSU rRNA
Rfam family: Eukaryotic large subunit ribosomal RNA
Source: RNAcentral
AUUGCCUCAGUAACGGCGAGUGAAGCGGCAACAGCUCAAAUUUGAAAUCUGGCCCUAGGCCCGAGUUGUAAUUUGCAGAGGAUGCUUUUGGUGAGGUGCCUUCCGAGUUCCCUGGAACGGGACGCCAUAGAGGGUGAGAGCCCCGUCUGGUCGGACACCGAGCCUCUGUAAAGCUCCUUCGACGAGUCGAGUAGUUUGGGAAUGCUGCUCAAAAUGGGAGGUAUAUGUCUUCUAAAGCUAAAUAUUGGCCAGAGACCGAUAGCGCACAAGUAGAGUGAUCGAAAGAUGAAAAGCACUUUGAAAAGAGAGUUAAAUAGCACGUGAAAUUGUUGAAAGGGAAGCGUUUAUGACCAGACUUGGCCCGGUUGAUCAUCCAGCGUUCUCGCUGGUGCACUCUGCCGGUCCAGGCCAGCAUCAGUUCGUCGCGGGGGAUAAAGGUUUCGGGAAUGUGGCUCCUCCGGGAGUGUUAUAGCCCGUUGCGUAAUACCCUGCGGUGGACUGAGGUCCGCGCUUCUGCAAGGAUGCUGGCGUAAUGGUCAUCAACGACCCGUCUUGAAACACGGACCAAGGAGUCGUCUUCGUAUGCGAGUGUUCGGGUGUAAAACCCCUACGCGUAAUGAAAGUGAACGCAGGUGAGAGCUUCGGCGCAUCAUCGACCGAUCCUGAUGUUCUCGGAUGGAUUUGAGUAAGAGCAUACGGGGCCGGACCCGAAAGAAGGUGAACUAUGCCUGUAUAGGGUGAAGCCAGAGGAAACUCUGGUGGAGGCUCGCAGCGGUUCUGACGUGCAAAUCGAUCGUCAAAUAUGGGCAUGGGGGCGAAAGAC